Molecule: ribosomal RNA, 1426 nt
Filed under: Actinopyga echinites
Lineage: Eukaryota; Metazoa; Echinodermata; Holothuroidea; Aspidochirotida; Holothuriidae
Description: 16S ribosomal RNA
Rfam family: Bacterial large subunit ribosomal RNA
Source: RNAcentral
AUCUUAUUAAUACCAUUAUUUUAUUUAUUUAUAUAAAGAAAAGUUCUAACAAAUAAUACCUUCAUCAACUAAAAACAAGUAAGAAAUUAUAUAUGCUAGUACCUUAGGGGAAGUUUGAAAUAGAAUUAAAACUAAAACAAAAAAAGGAAAGCUAUUACCUUUUGCAUCAUGGUUAUACAAGAUAAAAAGGAACACGAACCUUAACCCGAAAGAUAACGAGCUAACCAUUUCCGCUUAAAGGAGCAAUUAUCCACUGUUGCAGUAGUGGGGAAAGAGAAAAGGUUAGAGGUUAAAUGCCAUACGCGUUAUUAGAUAGCUGGUUCUUGGGGAAAAAGAUAUAAGUCUUACGCUUAAAAGCUAUUUAUUUCCAAUUUUUAAAAAGGAAAUCCGUUUCAGCAAAGAGUAGAAAGAGAACCGGAGACAAGUCCUGAUCUCAAGAAGGAAACAACCCAGAACUUAAAAUAAAUCAACUUAAAACAAGGAUUACCCAUACAGGUAGGCCUAAAAGCUGCCACCACAAUAGAAAGCGUUAAAGCUCCCAAUAUUAAAAUCCUAAAAUAAAUGAAAGAAAAUUAAUUUUUGUUCUAGAUACCCAAGAUAUAUAAUGUUUAAACAAGUAAGAACCAACUUAUUAGCUCACCUGCGGCGGAGAAAAUAACUACAAACCAAGGAUAAGGAAGACACCAAGACGUUCUACCAUUAACUUCCUUCCAACCCAGGAGCAGAAAUAGAGAUAAACUAAAAGCAGGGAAGGAACUCGGCAAAAACAAAGGAAGGACUGUUUACCAAAAACAUAGCUCCCUGAAAAAAUAGGGGGUCUAGCCUGCCCAGUGGUCCAAGACUAAACGGCCGCGGUAUAUUGACCGUGCAAAGGUAGCAUAAUCACUUGUCUUUUAAAUGAAGACUUGUAUGAACGGAAUUACCUUUCUUAACUGUCUCCCCUGCUUUUCUCUGAAACUCGUAUUUAGGUGAAGAACCCUAAAUAACAUAGAAAGACGAGAAGACCCUGUCGAGCUUCAGCUAAAAAAGGAGUCUAAGUAAAACUCACACAUCCUACUACAGCUUUGGUUGGGGCAACCACGGAGAAUAAUAAUCCUCCGGAAAUUGUGGAAGAUAAAUCUCUUCCCCACACACAAAAAAAGAACCAGAAUCUGGAAAACGGAAAAAGCUACCGCAGGGAUAACAGCGUUAUCUCCUCCAAGAGUUCAUAUUGACGAGGAGGCUUGCGACCUCGAUGUUGGAUUGGGGCACCCACAGGGUGCAGAAGCUCUGAAAGGUCGGACUGUUCGUCCGUUAAAGCCCUACAUGAUCUGAGUUCAGACCGACGUGAGUCAGGUCAGCUUCUAUCUUCUGACUGAUGUCUCUCCAGUACGAAAGGACCGAGAUACCCCUUUAAAUAGUUAACUCCAAAAAGGACUAAAAAAUU